AGUUUGAUCCUGGCUCAGAUUGAACGCUGGCGGCAUGCUUUACACAUGCAAGUCGAACGCGGGUGAGGGGCAACUCUUACCUGAGUGGCGAACGGGUGAGUAAUACAUCGGAACGUGCCUCGUAGUGGGGGAUAGCUCGGCGAAAGCCGGAUUAAUACCGCAUACGAUCCACGGAUGAAAGCAGGGGACCGCAAGGCCUUGCGCUAUGAGAGCGGCCGAUGUCCGAUUAGCUUGUUGGUGAGGUAAAGGCUCACCAAGGCGACGAUCGGUAGCUGGUCUGAGAGGAUGAUCAGCCACACUGGGACUGAGACACGGCCCAGACUCCUACGGGAGGCAGCAGUGGGGAAUUUUGGACAAUGGCGGCAACCCUGAUCCAGCCAUGCCGCGUGAGUGAAUAAGGCCUUCCGGUUGUAAAGCUCUUUUGGCCCGAAAGAAAAGGCGUCUGAUAACACCCGGCGUUCUUGACGGUACCGGCAGAAUAAGCUCCGGCUAACUACCUGCCAACAGCCGCGGUAAUACGUACGGUGCGAGCGUUAAUCGGAAUUACUGGGCGUAAAUCGUGCGUAGGCGGUCCCGCAAGUCCGCUGUGAAAGCCCCGAGCUUAAC
This 606-nucleotide ribosomal RNA is filed under the name uncultured bacterium. RNAcentral's name for it is "bacterial SSU rRNA". It matches the Rfam family "Bacterial small subunit ribosomal RNA", at positions 10 to 613 of the family's 1533-position model. The record is from RNAcentral.